CGAGGGGGCGGGCUCGGGUGCGGGCGCGGCUGGGGCUGCGGCUUCAGGUUUUGCGAUCACAGCUCUGAGUCCCAAAAUAAUCCCUGGGGCUGGAGUGGGGGCGUGUGGCGUCGACUCUGACGGCCUAAUGAAGGGUCUCAGGCAGAGGAUGUGGAUCUAGCCGUGACAGCUCCUCGGGCAGGGAGCGGAGGACAAGAGAGAGCGGUUGCACGCCCCCCGCCCCCGCUCUGGCGAGGGUACAACCCCUGGAGUCACCAGACUUUGGCCCUGCUCUUCCCAUCAGGGACACACGCAGGAGACAGGCAGGAGUGCAGGCUGGGAGGGCCGACCCCCUCUAGCUCUUUGCCCCUCAUGUAUGCAGAAUCUGACCAGAUGAGUUUUUAA
Molecule: long non-coding RNA, 384 nt
Filed under: Bos mutus (wild yak)
Lineage: Eukaryota; Metazoa; Chordata; Mammalia; Artiodactyla; Bovidae
Description: lncRNA (ENSBMUG00000025789.1)
Source: RNAcentral